CCUACGGGUGGCAGCAGUGGGGAAUAUUGGACAAUGGGCGAAAGCCUGACGCAGCAACGCCGCGUGAGGGAAGAAGUCUUUCGGUUUGUAAACUUCUUUUCUCAGGGACGAAACAAGUGACAGUACCUUAAGAAUAAGCCACUGCUAACUACGUGACAGCAGCCGCGGUAAUACGUAGGUGGCAAGCGUUCUCCGGAUUUACUGGGUGUAAAGGCGGUGUAGGCGGGAAAGCAAGUCAGAUGUGAAAACCAUGGGCUCAACCCGGGGCCUGCAUUGGAAACUGUUUGUCUGGAGUGCUGGAGAGGCAGACGGAAUUCCUAGUGUAGCGGUGAAAUGCGUAGAUAUUAGGAGGAACACCAGUGGCGAAGGCGGUCUGCUGGACAGUAACUGACGUUGAGGCGCGAAAGCGUGGGGAGCAAACAGGAUUAGAUACCCUGGUAGUC
RNAcentral lists this ribosomal RNA (443 nucleotides) under uncultured bacterium. RNAcentral's name for it is "partial 16S ribosomal RNA". It matches the Rfam family "Bacterial small subunit ribosomal RNA", at positions 338 to 795 of the family's 1533-position model. The record is from RNAcentral.